ACGGCGAGUGAAGCGGGAAGAGCUCAAAUUUGAAAUCUGGUGGCCUCAGGUCAUCCGAGUUGUAAUCUAUAGAAGUGUUUUCCGUGCUGGCUCAUGUACAAGUCCCUUGGAACAGGGCGUCAUAGAGGGUGAGAAUCCCGUCCUUGACAUGAACUACCAGUGCUCUGUGAUACAUUUUCAACGAGUCGAGUUGUUUGGGAAUGCAGCUCAAAAUGGGUGGUAAAUUCCAUCUAAAGCUAAAUAUUGGCGAGAGACCGAUAGCGAACAAGUACCGUGAGGGAAAGAUGAAAAGCACUUUGGAAAGAGAGUUAAACAGUAUGUGAAAUUGUUGAAAGGGAAACGAUUGAAGUCAGUCGUGCUCUUUGGAUUCAGCCGGUUCUGCCGGUGUACUUCCUUUGAGUGGGGUCAACAUCAGUUUUGAUCGCUGGAUAAAGGCUGGAGGAACGUAGUACCCUCGGGUAAACUUAUAGCCUCCUGUCACAUACAGUGGUUGGGACUGAGGAACGCAGCACGCCUUUAUGGCCGGGAUUCGUCCACGUACGUGCUUAGGAUGUUGACAUAAUGGCUUUAAACGACCCGUCUUGA
Molecule: ribosomal RNA, 585 nt
Filed under: Filobasidium magnum
Lineage: Eukaryota; Fungi; Basidiomycota; Tremellomycetes; Filobasidiales; Filobasidiaceae
Description: partial large subunit ribosomal RNA
Rfam family: Eukaryotic large subunit ribosomal RNA
Source: RNAcentral